AAGGAAAUCAAAUGGGAACAAUGAAGCCGUGCAGAGCCAUGGAGAAAGAGAAAUUGGAGCAGCCAUGUCUUGGGAAAUUGAAAUUGAAGUUGGGGACCAAAAAAAAAUUAAUAUUUUAAUCAAGGAAAGGAACCAUGAGAACAAUUGAAGACCCAAAAAAAUGACGUCUCAUGUGAAAGUGCAAUUAAAGGCAUCCAUAUUAUAUUAAUAUAAUAUUAUUUAUUUGAACGCUAAUGAUGGCAGCCCAAAUGAAUUGAAGUUUCAAUUGAGGUGGGCCCAUGGUGUCAUAGGAGAGUUAGGUCGCAGCCACACACGUAGCAUAUAUAUAUAUAUAUAUACAUAUCUCAACAUUUUAGGGAGAGAAACGGACAGAAUUGGAAGGAAAAAAUAGGAGGGGCGGCACCACAGCAUGUCAGAGACGCACGGAAAGGAGACGUCUCUCCUCGUCUCUAUUCCUCAGACCUCUUUCAUGUGGCAAGGGAUUACGGUUAUUGUCAUGGUCGAUGAUGCGUCGUCGGUAAUUGAAGGUUCCAUAGCCAUGAAUGUUGCCUUUCGUCGUUAUCUAUCCUUAGUUUUCUCCUUUGACACGUUAUCUCUAACUACGACCCCUUGAGUGUUUGUGCCAAGUUCGACUGACCAUGAAUUUAUGCAUCGCCAUGGUUGUUGGUCUUUAUUCUUUUGUCAUGAUUGUUGUUUCUUGCCCUUGUCAUGGUAAUGGAUGUUGCUUGGCGCCAUCGACAUCAUCAAGUCAUUAUCGUCGACUUCAUGUAGCCGUCGACAAUAGAGGAUGAAGGAAAAAAGAAGAGUUGUUGGCGACACUGAUAGCAGUGGCAAGUGUGGUUGAUGGCGGCUUGAGAAGGAAAGAGAAAGAGGAGGAAAAAGAUAAAAGAGAAGGAAAAACAAGAGAUCUGUUAAGAUUUGAGGGUAGGGAGAAGGGGAUGUUUUUUGCAUUUUAGUAUUUUCAACGCAUUUUGGCUGGAAACAUUCAAAAUAACAAAUUUUGUUUUGGGUUUUAUAUAUAAUUUUAUUCUUAUUUUUGAGAAUGUGUUUUUGAAAAUAGUAAAGUAAACGCAUUUUCAGUGUUUUGAAAAACUAAAAAUUUAAAACGGACUGAAAGUAGCAAAUUUAACACAACCUUAAGUUUUUUUUUUUUCCUCAUUAUAAAUGAAAAUUAAUAAAUUGGAAUGAAAAUAACAAAAUAUAAUAAAAUGAAAAUGUUUGAUAACAUUUUCAAACCACCUAUGAGCCACUUUUAUUAACUAUUGUUAUAUUAUAUUAAUUAAUAUGAUAUUACAAGCCAAUGGUAAUGCUAGUAUCCUAAUGUGUAGACGACAUUAGGAUUACAUAAUAAUGGGUGUGAAUAAAUUUUCAUUUCUAUUCUUAAAUUCAUCAAGAGAAUUAUGAUAUUUUUCAUAUGCAUAAAUGAAAAGUCAAAAUUCUCUUGCUUGAUUCAAUUUUAGGGUUUUAAUUCAGGCUUCCUGCAGUCCUACUUUUCCAAUCCUCAGGUAGACAGGAAAUUUAACAACCUUUUCUUCAUUGCCGUCUUCGUUCCAAGCUUGCCUGAAUUUCUCGAUCACGUCCUCCGACAACAGCUCCACACCGUCGCGGCGAGCCGUCUGAUACGCCGAACUUGAUCUCGUGUACGCGAGGUAGUCCUCCAAACUCAUCAGCCUCCCCGUUUUGAACUCGAACGGCCCCGUGUGAUCCUCGCCGUCCACCGGCUGGAACGGGAAAUCGACGGUUCUGUAUCGAUCCACUACCAAAUUCCGGCCGGAGCUCCAAUAACGCCUAGAAUCGACGUAGUAAUGUUGCCGGAAAAUCAAGUCGACGCCGUCGCUGACCUCCGGCAAGGUGUAGCACCAGGCGGCGAUCACGCCGUCGGGCUUCUUGAGCAGCCAUUUCGCUUGUUCAUAGAAUGCGCAGAGAUCGAACCAGUGCAGAGCUUGACCUACGGUAAUUAGAUCGACGCUUGACUGCUCCGCCACGAAGCUCUCGACCUCCGCCGUAGACAUUCGAGGCGGCGUCCACUGGUACCGCAGGUUAGGGCGCUUCUCUGCGAAGUUCAAUUGGUUUUGGCUGGUAUCUGUGGCUAUGACUUGCUUGUAAAUAGCAGCUAGCUAUUGAGAUGAUUCCGUUGUAUAAUCAGCAGAUUUAUAUAUAAUGGCAUUGCUGAAAUUAACACACACACACACACACAUAUAUAUAUAAAUGAACUGACCGAUGUUGCAGCCUGGCCGCUGCCGGUGGCUACGUCCCAGGCGAGGUCACGGCAGGGCGUCUUGGAGGCGAUGAAUUGGAAGAGCUCUUGGGGAUAACUCGGCCUGCUCUUCGAGUAGUCUUCCCCUUGCGUCUGAAACAAUUGAUCAGCCAUCUCUGUUUCUAGAUCUGCGUUGAUGGAUGAAAGGCGGAAGCAUACAGUGAUGACAAGUAGCGAUUAAAGCAGACGUUGUGUAUAUAUAAAGGGCUAUCUCCCUCCCAUCCCGUUACCUGACGUACUAUAAAUAAUUCACUCUAUA
Diospyros lotus (date-plum) is the source of this 2516-nucleotide long non-coding RNA. RefSeq lists it as uncharacterized. Lineage: Eukaryota; Viridiplantae; Streptophyta; Magnoliopsida; Ericales; Ebenaceae. The record is from RefSeq and is a predicted model, not a curated record. The transcript is spliced from 2 exons.